Long non-coding RNA from Brienomyrus brachyistius, 1499 nucleotides. RefSeq lists it as uncharacterized. The transcript has 4 exons. Lineage: Eukaryota; Metazoa; Chordata; Actinopteri; Osteoglossiformes; Mormyridae. The record is from RefSeq and is a predicted model, not a curated record.
AGUCUGCCUUGUGAUGGAUUGAUACCCCAUCCUUGGUUGUUCUCUGCCUGUAGCCUCAAGGAUAGACUCUGGACCCCCAUUGGACAAGCAGUUAUAGAAAACAGAUGGAUGUAAACAUGUAAUCUGUGUCGAUAAAUGGCCAAAACGGCAUUUCAAAGCCGUACGGCACAGAGUAAGCAUGUCUUUUUGUAAACGCCUGCCAUCUUCUGUCUUAUUUUGGUAUUGCGUCGUUUUUUUUUUUUUAAAAAAAAACCUCAAUUACAGAAUCUUCGGGAGAAAUGAGGCACAACAGUUUUCCUGAGUUGACUAUAAUUGUCGUGUAAAAGGUUGUUUUCAGUAUAUUACUUAUUAUUUUCAAAUUUACCAUAUGCUAACAGGGUUGGUACACAGCCAAUCUCGACCAGUCAUCCAGCUAUCCAAAUAUUUUCUGAUGCUCACAUCCUCAUGUUGUUUAAGUUUACGUUAGGACUUUAAGUCGUCAAGUGUAUUCUUAAAGCAACCAUAUCAAGCAAACUGCAUACGGUGACACAAGAUUUCCCUGGACCACGCGAUGAAAUAAACGUCUGGUGGUGAAGUUUAUACGGGGGGAAUCCUCCGCUAAAAUGAGCCACGACAGAGAUGCUAAGUAGAACAGAUCGUCAUGUGAAAAAAGUUAUUUUCAGUAUGUACUUUAUUAAUCGCCAAAAACAAUUUCAUUCGGAGCAACAUGUGGUAACGUGGUCGGUCCAAUCCAUACUAGUCAUCCAAUUAUUCAAACAUUUUCCGAAUCUCACAUCCUCGUGUUAUAUUAGGAUGGGGGCGCUGGUGGCAAAGUUUCGGCACCUCCUCAGAAGACGACGCCCCCUAGGCGGCCGCCCAUGUCAAGUAAAGAGUUGACUGGCGCCAAGGAUGGACUCGCAACAAAAAAAAACAGCCCUGAAAUUUGCUGUCAAGCAUCCCCAGUUGGAUAAUUUCUCGGCUAGUGGGCCAUAUAUUUUUUCCGAUCGUGAUCGCCAAUAACAUCUCUUUAACAAUAGACACAGGCACAUUUCCCCAAACUAUGUUUUGUAGUACGACCAUGACGACACCCUAGAAGAGUAGAGCGAUGUUGGUGGAACUACACUUUAUAGUUCUGAGUCUUCAGGCCACCCCUGUGAGUCUCCCCACCAGGCUAAACCUCCUGAUCAUCGACUCCCAGCCUGCACAGGGCUUGGCCCCCCUGAUCUCCUGGCUCGCCUGGAUCUUCCUCUCCUUCUUCUCCUUCACGCUCCUGCAGCUCGGAGGGGCGACCACUUUAGUGCUUCUGCAACGAUUCUGCAUGUCCUGGCACAUCUGUCAAUGCAGAGGAACAACCUGCAGCCUUUAAAGAAGAAAUGAAUCCCAAAGAGGCAUGAGGACACUUUUCGGCAUCCAGUCCGAAAGUAUUUAAAGCCGCAGGUUUUACCGCUGCAUCUCAGGCUACACUUCCGUCCUGAGAGCAUUAUUGCAGUGAGCGUUGCCUUCUUACUGAGACCAGAGGU